UAACACGUACGGGAACCUGCCCAUGCGGCCGGACAACUUACCGGAAACGGAUCCUGAUACCGGAUAAGGAAGCGAAGGCAUCUUUGUCUUUGUUAAAGGAGCUGCAAGGCUCCGCGCAUGGAUGGACCUGCGGUGCAUUAGCUGGUUGGUGAGGUAAAGGCUCACCAAGGCGACGAUGCAUAGCCGGCCUGAGAGGGCGAACGGCCACACUGGGACUGAGACACGGCCCAGACUCCUACGGAAGGCAGCAG
This 251-nucleotide ribosomal RNA is filed under the name uncultured bacterium. RNAcentral's name for it is "partial 16S ribosomal RNA". It matches the Rfam family "Bacterial small subunit ribosomal RNA", at positions 111 to 354 of the family's 1533-position model. The record is from RNAcentral.